This 253-nucleotide ribosomal RNA is filed under the name uncultured bacterium. Its description in RNAcentral is "partial 16S ribosomal RNA". It matches the Rfam family "Bacterial small subunit ribosomal RNA", at positions 524 to 776 of the family's 1533-position model. The record is from RNAcentral.
UACGAACGGUCCAAACGUUAUUCGGAAUCACUGGGCUUAAAGCGUCCGUAGGCGGCUCGGAAAGUAGGGUGUGAAAUCCCACGGCUCAACCGUGGAAUUCGCUCUAAACUAUCGAGCUAGAGGGAGAUAGAGGUGAGCGGGAACUGAUGGUGGAGCGGUGAAAUGCGUUGAUAUCAUCAGGAACACCGGAGGCGAAGGCGGCUCACUGGCCCGGUACUGACGCUGAGGAGCGAAAGCGUGGGGAGCGAACAGG